This 271-nucleotide unclassified non-coding RNA is filed under the name Hevea brasiliensis (rubber tree). Lineage: Eukaryota; Viridiplantae; Streptophyta; Magnoliopsida; Malpighiales; Euphorbiaceae. The record is from RNAcentral.
UGGUAAACGCCAGCAUAUCCAAGCGUUUGAGACACCGCCGGCGUCGCCAGAACGAGAGGGAAUGCCAUCGCCGCGACGGUGAGGCCGCGGGCGGAUCGAAGGGACGUGGUGAAUAUCCGGAAAAUGGAAUUUCGAGACACUGAGUUCGCCUGCGCCGAAUGUGUCAUGGGCCUGCCCUCAAGUUCUGCGAUGGCNNNNNNNNNNNNNAUACAGAGCGAACGCGGGCUUACGGCUUUUGGUUCCAAGCGCACCUCGUCCCGAAAUGAUUUGU